This 468-nucleotide ribosomal RNA is filed under the name uncultured bacterium. RNAcentral's name for it is "partial 16S ribosomal RNA". It matches the Rfam family "Bacterial small subunit ribosomal RNA", at positions 28 to 507 of the family's 1533-position model. The record is from RNAcentral.
GACGAACGCUGGCGGCGCGCCUAACACAUGCAAGUCGAACGGAGCUGAGAGAAGCUUGCUUUUCUUAGCUUAGUGGCGAACGGGUGAGUAACGCGUGAGUAACCUGCCCUGGAGUGGGGGACAACAGUUGGAAACGACUGCUCACACCGCAUAAGCCCACGAUCCGGCAUCGGAUUGAGGGAAAAGGAUUUAUUCGCUUCAGGAUGGACUCGAGUCGAAUUAGCUAGUUGGUGAGGUAACGGCCCACCAAGGCGACGAUAGGUAGCCGGACUGAGAGGUUGAGCGGCGACAUCGGGGCGAAGACACGGCCCAGAAUCUUACGGGAGGCAGCAGUGGGUGAUAUUGCAAAGUGGCGGGAGCCCUGAUGGAGCGAGGCCGCGUGGAGGAAGAAGGUUUGCGGAUUGUAAACUCCUGUAGUUAGGGACGAUAAUGACGGUACCUAACAAGAAAGCACCGGCUAACUACGUG